This 64-nucleotide transfer RNA is filed under the name Sicyonia parajaponica. Its description in RNAcentral is "tRNA-Cys". Lineage: Eukaryota; Metazoa; Arthropoda; Malacostraca; Decapoda; Sicyoniidae. The record is from RNAcentral.
GGCCUUGUAGUGGAAAAAAAGAUAUCAGACUGCAAUUCUGAAGAUGCGUUAAAUGCCAAGGCUU